AGGGCGCACGGUGAAUGCCUUGGCACUGGAAGCCGAUGAAGGACGCGACUAACCGCGAAAGUCUUCGGGGAGCCGUAAGUAGGCUUUGAUCCGGAGGUCUCCGAAUGGGGGAACCCAGCAUGUGCAGACAUGCUAUCCUUAAGUGAAUACAUAGCUUAAGGAGGGAACACGCAGUGAACUGAAACAUCUAAGUAGCUGCAGGAAGAGAAAGAAAUAUCGAUUUCCCAAGUAGCGGCGAGCGAACAGGAAAGAGCCCAAACCGGCAGAUUUAUCUGCCGGGGUUGUAGGACUGAGACAUGGCACUUCAGAGGAUAGCAGAAGCGUUUGGGAAAGCGCGCCAGAGAGGGUGAGAGCCCCGUAAGCGAAAUCCAAAGAAGGCCUAUCAGUAUCCUGAGUAGGGCGGGACACGUGAAAUCCCGUUUGAAUCCGCGAGGACCAUCUCGCAAGGCUAAAUACUAACCAGUGACCGAUAGUGAACCAGUACCGUGAGGGAAAGGUGAAAAGAACCCCGGGAGGGGAGUGAAAGAGAACCUGAAACCGUGUGCCUACAAGUAGUCAGAGCCCGUUAACGGGUAAUGGCGUGCCUUUUGUAGAAUGAACCGGCGAGUUGCGUUAGUCAGCAAGGUUAAGUCAGAAAAGACGGAGCCGUAGCGAAAGCGAGUCUGAAGAGGGCGAGCAGUUGGCUGACGCAGACCCGAAACCAAGUGACCUACCCAUGACCAGGUUGAAGGCGCGGUAAAACGCGCUGGAGGACCGAACCCACGUAAGUUGAAAAUUGCGGGGAUGAGUUGUGGGUAGCGGUGAAAUUCCAAACGAACUUGGAGAUAGCUGGUUCUCUCCGAAAUAGCUUUAGGGCUAGCCUCGCAAAGAGGAUGCUGGAGGUAGAGCUCUGUUUGGACUAGGGGCCCGUCAAGGGUUACUGAAUUCAGAUAAACUGCGAAUUCCAGACAUUUAUGUGCGGGAGUCAGACUGCGAGUGAUAAGAUCCGUAGUCGAAAGGGAAACAGCCCAGAUCACCAGUUAAGGUCCCAAAAUUCAUGCUAAGUGGAAAAGGAUGUGGAGUUGCGCAGACAACUAGGACGUUGGCUCAGAAGCAGCCAUCAUUCAAAGAGUGCGUAAUAGCUCACUAGUCGAGUGACGCCGCGCCGAAAAUUUACCGGGGCUAAGCAUGAUACCGAAACUGUGGAUGUGCGUUUAUGCACGUGGUAGGAGAGCGUUCUAGCGGCGGUGAAGCAUGACCGAGAGGACAUGUGGAGCUUCUAGAAGUGAGAAUGCCGGUAUGAGUAACGAAAGACAGGUGAGAAUCCUGUCCGCCGCAAGACUAAGGUUUCCUGGGGCAGGCUCGUCCGCCCAGGGUAAGUCGGGACCUAAGGCGAGGCCGAGAGGCGUAGUCGAUGGACAACAGGUUGAAAUUCCUGUACUGCACCGAAUCGUUAUGAGCGAUGGAGGGACGCAGGAGGCUAGCAGCGCGUGGUGCUGGAUACCACGUUCAAGCGUCAAGUCUGAGAGCGAGUCAAAUGCUUGCUCUCAUAAGGACAAGGCGUGAUGAGGAGCGAAAUUAAAGUAGCGAAGGCUGCGACGUCACACUGCCGAGAAAAGCUUCUAGCCAGAGACGGUGCACCCGUACCGCAAACCGACACAGGUAGUCGAGGAGAGUAUCCUCAGGUGAGCGAGAGAACUCUCGUUAAGGAACUCGGCAAAAUGGCCCCGUAACUUCGGGAGAAGGGGCGCUGGUCGCAAGAUCAGCCGCAGUGAAAAGGCCCAAGCAACUGUUUAUCAAAAACACAGGCAUCUGCAAAAUCGUAAGAUGAAGUAUAGGUGCUGACACCUGCCCGGUGCUGGAAGGUUAAGAGGAGAGCUUAGCGCAAGCGAAGGUUUGAAUUGAAGCCCCAGUAAACGGCGGCCGUAACUAUAACGGUCCUAAGGUAGCGAAAUUCCUUGUCGGGUAAGUUCCGACCUGCACGAAAGGUGUAAUGAUUUGGGCACUGUCUCAACGAGAGACUCGGUGAAAUUAUAAUACCCGUGAAGAUGCGGGUUACCCGCGACAGGACGGAAAGACCCCAUGGAGCUUUACUGCAGUUUAAUAUUGGGUAUCUGUCAAGCAUGUACAGGAUAGGUAGGAGCCGGAGAAGAUAGGACGCCAGUCUUAUCUGAGGCGCUGUUGGGAUACUACCCUUGCUUGACGGAUGCUCUAACUCAGGCCUGUGAUCCAGGCCGAGGACAGUGUUUGACGGGCAGUUUGACUGGGGCGGUCGCCUCCUAAAGUGUAACGGAGGCGCCCAAAGGUUCCCUCAGAAUGGUUGGAAAUCAUUCGCAGAGUGUAAAGGUAAAAGGGAGCUUGACUGCGAGAGAGACAACUCGAGCAGGUACGAAAGUAGGGCUUAGUGAUCUGGUGGUACCGCAUGGAAGGGCCAUCACUCAACGGAUAAAAGCUACCCUGGGGAUAACAGGCUUAUCUCCCCCAAGAGUUCACAUCGACGGGGAGGUUUGGCACCUCGAUGUCGGCUCGUCGCAUCCUGGGGCUGAAGUCGGUCCCAAGGGUUGGGCUGUUCGCCCAUUAAAGCGGCACGCGAGCUGGGUUCAGAACGUCGUGAGACAGUUCGGUCCCUAUCCGUCGUGGGCGCAGGAAAUUUGAGAGGAGCUGUCCUUAGUACGAGAGGACCGGGAUGGACGCACCGCUGGUGUACCAGUUGUCUUGCCAAAGGCAUCGCUGGGUAGCUAUGUGCGGACGGGAUAAGCGCUGAAAGCAUCUAAGUGCGAAGCCCCCCUCAAGAUGAGAUUUCCCAUUUCU
RNAcentral lists this ribosomal RNA (2790 nucleotides) under Lactobacillus delbrueckii subsp. bulgaricus. RNAcentral describes it as "bacterial LSU rRNA". It matches the Rfam family "Bacterial large subunit ribosomal RNA". Lineage: Bacteria; Bacillati; Bacillota; Bacilli; Lactobacillales; Lactobacillaceae. The record is from RNAcentral.